RNAcentral lists this long non-coding RNA (263 nucleotides) under Lathyrus oleraceus (garden pea). RNAcentral describes it as "Pisum sativum (pea) long non-coding RNA (PSAT_LNC007332)". The record is from RNAcentral. Lineage: Eukaryota; Viridiplantae; Streptophyta; Magnoliopsida; Fabales; Fabaceae.
AAAGGAUCACACUCAAAAUGGACAAAGGAGCACUUUUACCAAAUUAAGAUCAUUCAUUCAUUUUGGGAGAUGGAAUGUACAUUCCAUUAAUCCUCUAAAUCCAAUGAUAUUAACUUAACAAAGUCAAAUCAACCUUGACCAAGGCCCAACAACACAAGUCAAACUUCCAUUGUCAAUCAAAAUGGCUCUACACAAUUUAUUUGGCAUUUAUUCAAUUAAAAAUACUAAAAAUAAUACAUUAAAUUAAAUAUGGUUGAUCAAAU